UAGUGAACUAGUACCGUGAGGGAAAGGCGAAAAGAACCCCGGGAGGGGAGUGAAAUAGAUCCUGAAACCGCAUGCUUACAAAAAGUCGGAGCCCGCAAGGGUGACGGCGUACCUUUUGUAUAAUGGGUCAGCGACUUACAUUCAGUGGCAAGGUUAACCGAGUAGGGUAGCCGUAGAGAAAUCGAGUCCGAAUAGGGCGUUCAGUCGCUGGGUGUAGACCCGAAACCAAGUGAUCUAUCCAUGGCCAGGAUGAAGGUGCCGUAACAGGUACUGGAGGUCCGAACCGACUAGUGUUGCAAAACUAGCGGAUGAGCUGUGGAUAGGGGUGAAAGGCUAAACAAACUUGGAAAUAGCUGGUUCUCUCCGAAAACUAUUUAGGUAGUGCCUCAAGUAUUACCUUCGGGGGUAGAGCACUGUUUUGGCUAGGGGGUCAUGGCGACUUACCAAACCAAGGCAAACUCCGAAUACCGAAGAGUACAGCUUGGGAGACAGAGCACCGGGUGCUAACGUCCGGACUCAAGAGGGAAACAACCCAGACCGCCAGCUAAGGUCCCUAAAAUUGGCUAAGUGGGAAACGAAGUGGGAAGGCUAAAACAGUCAGGAUGUUGGCUUAGAAGCAGCCAUCAUUUAAAGAAAGCGUAAUAGCUCACUGAUCGAGUCGUCCUGCGCGGAAGAUGUAACGGGGCUAAGCCAGUUACCGAAGCUGCGGAUGCACAGCUUGCUGUGCGUGGUAGGAGAGCGUUCUGUAAGCCUGUGAAGGUGUCUGGUAAUGGAUGCUGGAGGUAUCAGAAGUGCGAAUGCUGACAUGAGUAGCGUUAAAGCGGGUGAAAAGCCCGCUCGCCGUAAGCGCAAGGUUUUCUACGCAACGUUCAUCGGCGUAGAGUGAGUCGGCCCCUAAGGCGAGGCAGAGAUGCGUAGCUGAUGGGAAACAGGUCAAUAUUCCUGUACCGAUUGCAAGUGCGAUGUGGGGACGGAGAAGGUUAGCUCAGCAGACUGUUGGAUGUGUCUGUUCAAGCCUGUAGUCGUACCCGGUAGGCAAAUCCGCCGGGCUUAGAUGAGGGGUGAUAACGAGGAAGCUUGCUUCCGAAGUGAGUGAUACCCUGCUUCCAGGAAAAGCCACUAAGCUUCAGCUUGCAACGACCGUACCGCAAACCGACACUGGUGCGCGAGAUGAGUAUUCUAAGGCGCUUGAGAGAACUCAGGAGAAGGAACUCGGCAAAUUGACACCGUAACUUCGGGAGAAGGUGUGCCCUAAGUAGGUGAACCUGUACAAGGGGAGCCCAAAGGGGUUGCAAAGAAUCGGUGGCUGCGACUGUUUAAUAAAAACACAGCACUCUGCAAACACGAAAGUGGACGUAUAGGGUGUGACGCCUGCCCGGUGCUGGAAGAUUAAAUGAUGGGGUGCAAGCUCUUGAUUGAAGUCCCAGUAAACGGCGGCCGUAACAAUAACGGUCCUAAGGUAGCGAAAUUCCUUGUCGGGUAAGUUCCGACCUGCACGAAUGGCGUAACGAUGGCCACACUGUCUCCUCCUGAGACUCAGCGAAGUUGAAAUGUUUGUGAUGAUGCAAUCUCCCCGCGGAAAGACGGAAAGACCCCAUGAACCUUUACUGUAGCUUUGUAUUGGACUUUGAACGGAUCUGUGUAGGAUAGGUGGGAGGCUUUGAAGUGCGGUCGCUAGAUUGCAUGGAGCCAACGUUGAAAUACCACCCUGGUGCGUUUGAGGUUCUAACCUAGGUCCAUUAUCUGGAUCGGGGACAGUGCAUGGUAGGCAGUUUGACUGGGGCGGUCUCCUCCCAAAGCGUAACGGAGGAGUUCGAAGGUACGCUAGGUACGGUCGGACAUCGUGCUAAUAGUGCAAUGGCAUAAGCGUGCUUAACUGCGAGACUGACAAGUCGAGCAGAUGCGAAAGCAGGACAUAGUGAUCCGGUGGUUCUGUAUGGAAGGGCCAUCGCUCAACGGAUAAAAGGUACUCUGGGGAUAACAGGCUGAUACCGCCCAAGAGUUCAUAUCGACGGCGGUGUUUGGCACCUCGAUGUCGGCUCAUCACAUCCUGGGGCUGAAGUAGGUCCCAAGGGUAUGGCUGUUCGCCAUUUAAA
Molecule: ribosomal RNA, 2096 nt
Filed under: Climacostomum virens
Lineage: Eukaryota; Ciliophora; Heterotrichea; Heterotrichida; Climacostomidae
Description: partial Bacterial large subunit ribosomal RNA
Rfam family: Bacterial large subunit ribosomal RNA
Source: RNAcentral